UGGUCCCCGGGCGGCGAGCGGCACCGGCACCGGCACCUCCGUGCUUGGGAACGCUUCUCACCCAGCCCCAGAGCCUCCGAAAUCAUGCUCCAUCAACGCACACAUUCACUGCAACACAGACCUUCUACCGAAUGCAGGAGGUGGGGCCUUCUCAGGCCGUCGCGGGCAGGAGCGAAAAGGUUCUUGAUGGAGUGCUGACAGAGGGCUUCAGGCGUGGGGCUGCAGAAUGUCGGCAGGGAUGCAGAGUAAUCCUCUUGCCGAAAUAGGUUCUUUCACCCGGUGUGCUAGAGGCCAAUACACACACAGAGUCGAGGCUUGAAAGUAUACAAAGAUCAAACAUCAGAGAACACACUUUCUUCAGAAAUAUUUACAUAUUCUACAUUUUGCAACAAUCCCACAUUAGCUGUAAGUGCUAUGUACAGACAUCCUCACAAGUGCUGAAAAGGAACACAGCCAAGGAGAACAAAAAUUCUGAAGUACCAACUGAGGGAAUGUACAAACUGAGGCCGGAACAACCAUUAGAUUGUUGAAACUCAAUUAUUUUUUGUUAUUUACCCAAUAAAUUUUGCCCAAUUACAUCACUA
Haemorhous mexicanus (house finch) is the source of this 584-nucleotide long non-coding RNA. RefSeq lists it as uncharacterized. The transcript has 2 exons. The record is from RefSeq and is a predicted model, not a curated record. Lineage: Eukaryota; Metazoa; Chordata; Aves; Passeriformes; Fringillidae.